Molecule: long non-coding RNA, 2712 nt
Organism: Harpia harpyja (harpy eagle)
Lineage: Eukaryota; Metazoa; Chordata; Aves; Accipitriformes; Accipitridae
Exons: 2
Source: RefSeq, a predicted model, not a curated record
UGUAGUUGUAUUUUAUUUCCAACUGUGACUUUAAACUAUUUUGUCCUUUUUAUGCCUAUUUUAGCUGAAUUUAGAAGUCUUCUAUUUAAAUUCUCCAGACAGUGACCAGGUUGCUGCCUUUAUAUUUUUUGGUAAUUAAUUUGGAUUAAGCUUGUAUAUUUCUUGUUGCAAAGAGGUUUUCCAGACCUCAGAUUUUUGUAGCUGCCUUAUGGGUUUUUUUGGGGAAAAAAAAAAAAAAAAACCCAAACCAAAACAAACCAUCAGAAGUGCAUGUGGUAUUCUGGGAGUGUUCUCUUUGUGAAGGUAAUGUCUCUUCUUUUUGCUGCUUAUCUGUUUGUCCCUUCAAGGAUUGCAUUGCUCUUUCUGAUCCUAGAAUGUAUUUGGAGGGUCUAUGUUCUCUCACUCUUCUUCAGUUGUGCAAAAUGUCUUUUUAGAAUGUGAUUUUCCAGGAUACAGUACACUGAUUUCAGUCACUCCUUCCCCAUACAUAAGGUUCCAGUGGACUUUCCUCUUAGAGUCCAACUUUGGUUUUAUUCAGGUACAUUUGGCAGCUAUUUCAGGCUGUUAUGCAUUAAUUCAAGAGGGUGAACCUGUUCAAAAAGACACCCAGAAAAGCCUUGUUCAUCCUAGUGAUGAUUUUGGUGCUGACAAGGCUGAUGAACUGCUCAUUUCCUACAAGUUUUAAGAUUUUUCUGUGUACAUUUACUUUGCUGGAGAUGGAGAUCUCAGGCUCCUGACUGAGUCAGUUUGUAGCAGGUUUUACAGAAGUAAAUUAGUGUUUCAGGCUUUAGAUUUCUGUCAUGUGAAAUAAGUUCCAUGUCAGUGAACUUACCUGAGAUUCAGUCUUCUCCAUAUCACUUCAAAGAUCUUUGCUGCCCUGGUCCUUUUAAAGUUUCUAUGAUUUUUUCUUUUGACAUAAGUGUCUACAUAAGCCUUGAUCCUUAAAGGUUCACAUCUAAAAUAGUAGCAGAUAUAUGCUCAUGUUUCUGUCACCAGGUUUGUCUGAAACUUGAUGUCUAUACCACUUGUUACAAAGCAUGGUUUCCCACUUCCAAUGCUAGCGGAAGCGCAGCAUUCCCAGAUCAUACUAUAUGCUUACGUAGUGAACUUAAGCUGUUUUGAAGUGGUGUAGGGAUGCUGCCUGUCCAGCCAGAAGUCAUCUCCUGUGAGACCACAGAGCUAAGAACUGCCACUGAGAUGAAAUUCUAGAGUUCUUGCUAAGUCUAGAGCUGUAAGUAAGAUUGCGUCAACAAAAGUUCAGGGGGUGUUCCAUCUUUUCAGCAUUAUGCUUUGGGAGAACAAGGUGGAAUCUUACUUCUCUUUCCAUGCUGGGUUCAUAUUUCUUACUGAUAUUUACAUUAGCUUCCUUAUCUCUUGGUGAUGACAGUUUGUGUGUUGUUUUUUGUAAUUUUUUGAGGGUAUUGUUUUUUGUUUUUUGACUUAUUGCAUUUGUGCUCAUUUCUUUUGAAAGUCUUUCAGGGCUGUUAAUGCAUGCAAAUGUGCAUUUUCCAAUGACUUAGUUCUGCUUCUUUGAAUUUCCUGUAACCAGUUUCACUAAUGUUUAUGUUCCUUCAGGAUACUUCAAAACUUAUUUAUUGGGUGUUUAUCUAUGUUGAUCUUACUGAAUCUGCCCUUUUCUCUAUUUGAACCCCUUUUUUGCUCUCUUGAAAGAACUUCUUGUAAUGUUAGCUUUCCAUGCUGACAGUGCUACUUUGAAGGGGGUUUUGGAUCAGUGACAGCUUGAAGAAUUCUGCUAGCUUUGUACUCGAGAGCUAAGUCUCGGAACUGUUAGAUAUUCCCUGCAGAGAAACAGACUUGCAAACUGAGCCUGAAGAACAUAAAACGGAAAAAAAGCACAGCGCACAGAUUGAAAACUGAAAUGGAUAUCUGCGCUUUGAUACUUCUAAUGACUUGAAUAUGAACAUCAUCUGUAUUUUAAUGUAUUUGAGGUUCAGAUUUAUAGCUUAGGCUCCAUCUGACAAAUAUGGCAAAAACUACAAGACUUGAGAUUAAAAGACUGAAUUAUGAAAACAUAUGUUGUUGCUUUGCAUUGCAUAAAAUAUACAUAAUUUUCUCUAACGGUACCUUUUAUCAAAAUGAAAAAUAACUUCAUUUGCUCGUUCACAUAAAUUGUUUGCUGCUGUGCUAAGCAUUUUUCUGUAGUAUCCAUGCCUUUAACCCAAGAUACAUUACAACAAGUAAACAACCAUUGUUGCAGUGUUGUCCUUUUGAAAUAACUUCGAACUGCAAAAAAGUUUAAAAAAAAAAAAACCAAACCACUUCCUUGAAAUUGUACCAAAAUUUCAUUUGAUUCCUAGAUUUAGAGUAUAAAACAGGAAAAAGGGAAUUGUCUGUUACUGAAAAUUGUAUAGGCUCCUGAGAAACUUGGAUGUACUGAACAUUUUUAUCUGUUGGGUCCAUAUAACAAUCAAGGAAACAAGAUAUUUUUAUCCUAUUUUGGGAAGUUUGGUAGUGCCAAACAAUUUCUUCUUUCUUUCUUUGACAAAAUCUUUAAAAAUAAAACUCUGUCCUCAUGAUCAUGAUAGUGCUGUCUUUGAUUAGACAUACACAGAAGAGUGUUGACGAUGAAUGUUGAUCUAAAGAUGAUCAAGUAUCAAAUUACUUAUCUGUAAAUGUAUUCAUCUUCUCAAAUGUUUAAUUUACAGUUUUAACUGUUGUAUGCUCUCUUUGACAUAUUGCCUUCUUCUUUCA